Molecule: long non-coding RNA, 2847 nt
Filed under: Cricetulus griseus (Chinese hamster)
Lineage: Eukaryota; Metazoa; Chordata; Mammalia; Rodentia; Cricetidae
Description: lncRNA (ENSCGRG00015037598.1)
Source: RNAcentral
GAGCCCGAGCCGAGUUGGGAGGAGAGGUGGGGCGGUCCCGGAGCGCAGAGAGACCGACUCCCUGGCUGCGGCGGCGGUGGCGCCGGAAUGCUGGUCACCCUGCUGCACCGUUGCUUGGCACUUCAGACCAUGGAUGUAAAUUACCACUGGAUUCCAGCCCUUCUCCAGGGAAGCAGGCCACUCUAGAACAGUGGGAUUAAAUCUACUCAUGUCAAGCAGUCACUUUCAAAUAAGGAGGUUCCCCCACUUUUUAGAACAAAAAAUGUAUAUGUCAGCAAGGCCAUUUUUCAGUAAAUAAACAUGUGAUUCUCACAUAUUUUUAGUUUUUCUUUAUUUUUUUGUCUUUUUCAUAUAUGCGUACCCACUUACUCUACUUCAGCCGCCUUCCACUGACCACCUUCUUCCUUCCAACAAAAUUUUAAAAAGCAAUUGUAGAUUGCUAAGUGGACUUUUAGAUAAAACAUUCAGACUCUUUGCUUUCCUUAGCAGUUGGUCAGCACCUUAAAGCUAUUGGCUAAGUCCUCCAGUGAAUGCUGAACAGUAACUAUGACACAUUCAUUUUUUAGCACAAGCAGUUUACUAGGUGUAGAACCCCAGUGCAGUGCACGGCACUUAGGUUUGUAUAGAGCUGUGUAAAAAUGAGGGUCUGUGUUUCCUAAGAGACUGCAAGUGUGGCGUGGAAAGGUGGUAUAUGCACCUGUGCACCUGAGUUUAUUUGAAAGACAAAUUCUCUGACCGUUAGGUUGCUGUUGUCACUUUUCACAGAACAUACGUGAUGAUCUGGUUGUGAGAGCAAAGGGCUUCAGAGUAAAAGAGAGCUCUGGAAAACUUAGCUAAUGCCCAAUAAUUUUUGUCCCAAACCUCUCUCUAGUAGGAAAAAAAUUAGAAUGCCAUAACUUACUGUGCUGAGUUUUCGUUAGGUGGGUUUGUUGUUGUUGUGUCUGUCUGUUUUGUUUUAGUAUAAGCCAUGCCUAGGAAGAUAAGUUCUACAAAUAAUUUCUCUGAGCCCUGACUAGGAAGAAAAGUGGUUUCACAGAGGUUUCCUGUGUAGACUUUCUUGUUAGACCAGAAUGAGAAUAGUAUUUAGCCUUUUUCAGCCUGAUUUAUAAAGUAGGAGUAAUAAUGGUCUCAAUUUCUAGCGUUUGAAUGAAAGCAUAUCAGCUAGUCUUUCGAAAACAUAGGCUAAAACUAACAUAUGGGAAGUGCUUAGAAUGGUCACUUUCCUUUCUAUUUUUUUUUUUAACCUGGUUUACUCAGUCAACAGGAUACUGGGUAAGUUAUGAUAGCCACAACCUUCUGGAAAUGCCAGAUAUCACAAUUUUAAGUUCCAAAGAAUGUUAAAUGUUGGCAUGGUAACUCAGCAGUUGGCAAAGCUGAGGCAGGAGAAUUGCUAUGAGUUCAUACCCAGUCUAGACAACAUAGUAAGUUCCAGGCUAGCUUAGAACUAGAGUGAGAUCUUACUCAAAUAACUAGAAAGUUGAUCCAAUAUUUUGUGUGUGUAAAUAUGUAUUAAGCUUGUAUGUCCUGUUUCUGCCAUAGCAGUAUGAAUAAUGAUUGAUGAACCAAUAAUUUUAAUAAUGCUUUUGGCAUUGUUAAGUACAUAUUUUUAGGGCUAGGCAAUUAGGAACAUGAGUUAGCUUUUAAAUUUAAAGUGAGUUUUUAUCUCCAAUAGUUACAUUUAUUAAUCUUGAAUAGGAAAUUAAAUCAGAAAAGGAAGCAGCAUUUAUCUUUAACCAAAUAUGACUUUUAAGGUUUGAAAAGGUGCAAUCCAAGAGUAUGUUGAUGUUUGCUCUUGUGUGUAUGGCUGUACAAGGCCGGCAGAUAAGCCAUAAGAAGUGGGGACUGGUUGUGUUUAUUUUUGUGAGAGUGGAUGGAUAGUUAAUUCAGGGAAUGAACUCAUGGAGUCACUGAACCAUUUGCUAAAAUUUGCAAAACUUGAAAAAGUUUUUAUUUUAAAAACAACCCCCUUAAACACCUGUGUUUUUGUUGUUAAUACAUAUCAGAUAUGUACAAUCAAAUUGAUCUGGGCUGUAGCUCAUGUCAGUCAGGCUGACACAGAAAUACUAAUUUAUAAUGAUUUCCAGUAUAAAGCAUACAGUGUCCAUUAUGAAUUGUUUUUGGGCCCAUGUUUCAUUUGUUGUAAUGAAAGACUUGAUUGAAUAAAUUAUUGCUUGCUUUUAUUCCUAGAACUUUACAGCAUAUGAUGGAUUGCUAACUUGUGUUCCUAGGUGUGUAGGUUGGACGACUUGGUUAACUUCUCUUUUAUUGAGAGUGUGAGGGUUAAAUGAAUCUGUCUACAUAGACCAUUUCCUGACAUGUAGUCUAUAUUCAAUAAGUAUUAGCAUUAAUAUAUCUUUGUACAGACGAUGAGCUUGCAUUACUUUUAUAACAGGAAAAUGGCCACACAAAAUUUUCAUAUUUCUCUCAAAUCCAAAAAGGCUAUUAUUCAAACUGUCCUGCCAAAUUGUAUUUACAAAGAGACUAUGCAGUAAUUAGGCAAUAGUAUUUUGUCUUUCAAAUAUGAAAUGGGUUUUGAUAUCAGCUUACACAGCAAAUUAAUUCUAGAUCGUAAUUUCAUUUUCCUUUCUAACCUGUAACUUCAUGAAUGAAGUUUUUUUUUUUUUUUUUUAGGUUACACAGUUGGAAGACCGGUACAAAUAUAAUGCAUUAUUAACAAGUGCAGCUAGCUAUGUAUUUUUGUUAAGGCUUUAAAGGAAAUACAGAUAAAUAGAUGCCUCCAUUUUUCUUCCAGUAGGCAUGCACAUAUAACAAAUCAUUUGUAAUAGUUACUCAAAAUAAAUUCUAAUCUAUAACCGAAUAUAGCAGCAUUUUGUUGACUUGGGGCCG